GGGAGGGUAGAUAAGCUCAAAUGGAUAGAGGCCGAUUAACGAAAGUCGGUGGUUGCAGGUUCGAUCCCUGCCCCUCUCACGA
RNAcentral lists this transfer RNA (82 nucleotides) under Muribaculaceae bacterium S4. RNAcentral's name for it is "tRNA-OTHER". RNAcentral also lists the same sequence under 1 other name. Lineage: Bacteria; Pseudomonadati; Bacteroidota; Bacteroidia; Bacteroidales; Muribaculaceae. The record is from RNAcentral.